AUAAAUGAGAAUGAGAUUCGCAUUACCACUCAGGGCAGGAUGAGAAAUUAUAUUACCUAUGCCACCACUCUCCUCCAGGAGAAAGGGUCUAAUGAAAUCAUUCUUAAAGCCAUGGGCAGAGCUAUAAAUAAGACAGUGAUGAUUGCAGAGUUAAUUAAGAGAAGAAUUGUUGGUCUGCAUCAGAACACCUCAAUUGGAUCAACCGAUA
Molecule: unclassified non-coding RNA, 208 nt
Filed under: Hevea brasiliensis (rubber tree)
Lineage: Eukaryota; Viridiplantae; Streptophyta; Magnoliopsida; Malpighiales; Euphorbiaceae
Source: RNAcentral